GCUGGUCGCGGUGGUGAGUGCCUGUAGUCCCAGCUACUAGGGAGGCUGAGGUGGGAGGAUCGCUUGAGCCCAGGAGUUCUGGGCUGUAGUGCGCUAUGCCGAUAGGGUGUCUGCACUAAGUUCGGCAUCAAUAUGAUGACCUUCCAGGAGCUGGGGACCACCAGGUUGGUCUAAGGAGGGGUGAACCAGCCCAAGUUGGAAACCGAGCAGGUCAAAAUUCCUGUGCUGAUCAGUAGUGGGAUCGUGCCUGUGAAUAGCCACUGCACUCCAGCCUGGGCAAUAUAGCAAGACCCCAUCUCU
Molecule: signal recognition particle RNA, 300 nt
Filed under: Aotus nancymaae (Ma's night monkey)
Lineage: Eukaryota; Metazoa; Chordata; Mammalia; Primates; Aotidae
Description: Metazoan signal recognition particle RNA (ENSANAG00000009605.1)
Rfam family: Metazoan signal recognition particle RNA
About the family: The signal recognition particle (SRP) is a universally conserved ribonucleoprotein. It is involved in the co-translational targeting of proteins to membranes. The eukaryotic SRP consists of a 300-nucleotide 7S RNA and six proteins: SRPs 72, 68, 54, 19, 14, and 9.
Source: RNAcentral